UGGGGAAUUUUGCACAAUGGGGGAAACCCUGAUGCAGCGACGCCGCGUGAUUUAGAAGGCCUUCGGGUUGUAAAAAUCUUUUCUAUGGGAAGAAAAUGACAGUACCAUAGGAAUAAGGACCGGCUAAUUACGUGCCAGCAGCCGCGGUAAUACGUAAGGUCCGAGCGUUGUCCGGAAUCAUUGGGCGUAAAGGGUACGUAGGCGGGUAAGCAAGUUAGAAGUGAAAUCCUGUAGCUCAACUACAGUAAGCUUUUAAAACUGCUCAUCUUGAGAUAUGGAAGGGAAAGUGGAAUUCCUAGUGUAGCGGUGAAAUGCGCAGAUAUUAGGAGGAAUACCAGUAGCGAAGGCGACUUUCUGGACACAAACUGACGCUGAGGUACGAAAGCGUGGGGAGCAAACAGG
RNAcentral lists this ribosomal RNA (402 nucleotides) under Bacteroidota bacterium. RNAcentral describes it as "Bacteroidetes bacterium partial 16S ribosomal RNA". It matches the Rfam family "Bacterial small subunit ribosomal RNA", at positions 355 to 776 of the family's 1533-position model. The record is from RNAcentral. Lineage: Bacteria; Pseudomonadati; Bacteroidota.